GAUGAACGCUGGCGGCGUGCCUAAUACAUGCAAGUCGUGCGGAAAGGCCCUUCGGGGUACUCGAGUGGCGGACGGCUGAGUAACGCGUGGGAACGUGCCCCAAAGUGAGGGAUAACGCACCGAAAGGUGUGCUAAUACCGCAUAUGGUCUUCGGAUUAAAGCUUCGGCGCUUUGGGAGCGGCCCGCGUACGAUUAGAUAGUUGGUGAGGUAAUGGCUCACCAAGUCGACGAUCGUUAGCUGGUCUGAGAGGAUGGUCAGCCAGACUGGGACUGAGACACGGCCCAGACUCCUACGGGAGGCAGCAGUAAGGAAUCUUCCACAAUGGGGGCAACCUUGAUGGAGCAACGCCGCGUGCAGGAUGAAGGUUUUCGGAUCGUAAACUGCUUUUAUAAGUGAAGAAUAUGACGGUAACUUAUGAAUAAGGAUCGGCUAACUACGUGCCAGCCGCCGCCGUAA
Molecule: ribosomal RNA, 457 nt
Filed under: uncultured bacterium
Lineage: Bacteria
Description: partial 16S ribosomal RNA
Rfam family: Bacterial small subunit ribosomal RNA
Source: RNAcentral